AUGAACCGCUAUGGUAUGCCAUUCAUACCUUUUGUUGGUCUUAACAAUCACCGGAAGACUACUGUUUUUGGUUGUGCCAUUGUUUCGGACGAGACCGAGGAGACAUACGUGUGGCUUCUGCAGACUUUUUUGAGGUCCAUGUGUCAAAAGAUGCCUAAGAGUGUUAUCACAGACGCCGACGCUGCGAUGAUCAAGGCAAUUCGCGAAGUCUUGCCAAACGUGUGGCACCGUAUAUGUACGUGGCACGUAGAGAAAAAUAUGAAGAUUCACCUCAGUCACAAGUCCUUGAAGGAGUUCCGAACUCUUCUG
RNAcentral lists this ribosomal RNA (309 nucleotides) under Triticum aestivum (bread wheat). RNAcentral describes it as "partial small subunit ribosomal RNA". Lineage: Eukaryota; Viridiplantae; Streptophyta; Magnoliopsida; Poales; Poaceae. The record is from RNAcentral.